CUCGACGGAUGUCAGCACCCCUGCAGAGGAACAACUGCAUCUCUUUGGUUUGUCCUGGGCAGUCCCAGGCCCAGAGAGCCUAUUGUCCUCUCUAUCUCCUAUGAAUUCACUGGUGGUCACCCCCACUGAGAACCUGCUGAAAAGCAUCAGUCCUGCUGAGAUUGAAGAGCUGACAAGAACCUGUAAAAGCAGCAUGCAAUGUGUCCAUGACACACUAGCAGCCGGUGUUCCUCCUGAACUGGGCCAGGAGACUCUGAAAGCUGAGACAGAAUUUCAAAAUCUGGCCCUGAUCAAAGGUAACAUGCCUCCCAUAGUGACACAGCCCACAGUGAUCCGCUCUCAGGUCAAAUCCCAGGUCAGCGUUCAGAUCAUCGCUGAGGAUGCCAACAGAGACAACAUCACUUAUUCGCUGCUCUUACCCAGGCCUCCCCAAGCUUCGAUCAACAGCGGUAAUGGCUACCUGACUUGGACCCCUCUAAGUACCCAGCCUGUCCAGCUGAGCAUCAAGGUCAGUGACAAACUGGGCAGCUCCCUCUUCACUCCCAUCCUGCGUGUCUGCAACUGCCUCAACGGAGGAACGUGCCAGUAUGACAGCAUCACUGAAAACCAUCUGCAGGGAAAGUUUCAGGUGGUGGGGUGUCUGUGUCCAGCGGGAUUCAGUGGGAAAUUCUGUGAGAACACUACAGAUUUAUGUCGAGGCGAGCCCUGUUUCCGAGGAGUGCAGUGCCGAUCAGAGUCUGGCCAGUUCACCUGUGGUGAAUGUCCUGAUAACACUUUCGCUAAUGGGAAAAAAGGAUACAAGUGCUUUGAAAGUAACAUGUGCAUCCCUCCUUUUCCCUUCCCCUGCCACAAAUAUGCUUAUUGCAACAGCACAAAACAGAGCUACACCUGCACAUGUAUGGAAGGCUUUAAUGGAGAUGGACACAACUGCACAGAUGAAGACGAGUGCGUGGAUUUUCUGAACUGUCAAAAUGCCAAGUAUGAGUGUAAGAACAAGCUUGGCACCUAUGAAUGCAUCUGCAGAUAUAAAAACUCCAAGGAUGAUAAAGGAUGUGGUGACUCUCCUAAUCCCCCAGGCUAUAACAUGUUCAAUGUCUCUGUGACCUGGAAAAAGAACGCAGCUGGUGGGAUCCAACAGUUGGAUGAGAUGUUAACCAGAGGUUUUACAAACAAGUAUUAUAACAUCACCGAGAUCAAUCAGGGAUUCACACCAGAUGUGCUCGAAUAUCGAAUCAAAGUGUCCAGUGACACCCCCCACUGGUACAUCACAGACUACCUGACCAGAAUCAGCAGCCACUAUGGCAUCCAUGCCAUAGAAGUUAAUGACGUGGAUGAGUGUAGUAGUAACGAGUAUAAGUGUGACCACCCUGCUCUGUGCACCAACACCUACGGUGGCUACCGGUGUAUUUGCAACGAGACUGACGUGAAUAAACGCCAGUCCUGCAUCAUAGAAAGAGGCCGAGUGGGAGACACAGAGGUAGACCUGGUCCUGGGGCUGGUUCUGGGCAUCUGCAUCCCUCUGCUGCUGCUGCUGCUCCUGGCUGUUCUGGCCUGCGUCUUCUGCUGCCGCAAAAAGACUGUUACUGGAGAAAUCCCCCACCUGUAUCCAAACUACAUCCCGGAGCAGUACAACCCUCCACCCUUCAACUAUUCAGACCCGGCUCUGCAGUACAUUACUCACUGCAGCCCUCGAAUCCUGGACAACUACGUACCAAGGCAGCGCCAUAGAUAGCACACGCUUACAGCUGCAUACAUCUCACGCACAUUUGCAUCUUAUCAACCACAACAUUAAAACCACAUACAGUACACAAUUGUGUAUGCCACCCUCGUGCCCCAGAUCACCUCUCAGCCAUCAGCGCGUCGACAUGGGACCUCUUGAUGAGGCUUCUUGUGGUCUCAGCUGUGGAUCAUUGCGGCUGUGGGCUGUUUUAGGGCAUCCUGUGGACUCUGUGGAGUAUGAAACUAUGGGUCAGCCUCUUUUUGUUGUUAUCUUUAAGAAAUUGCUGUGAAGUCAUGGUGUAUUUUUCUGCUGGGGAGGAGGCUGCCGUCGGUGAGGUGCUGGGGCAGAAUGUUGUUCAUUUCUAGUGUCUUCUCAUCCUGACGCAAUGUAAGCAUGAGGUGUAAUUGAGCGCUGGUUUUGCACUUAUUUGUUCCUCCGUGCUUGUUACUUUCACUUCCACUCAGUUUAUUCUGUAAAAACAACUUGGUUGGUUAGGGUUAAGGAAGAGAUGGUGGUUUGGGUUAAAACGUACCCCCCAGCUUUGUUUUUGACACAUGACGAGCGACAGGGAAUGGCUGCUCAGUGUCUCUUAUGCUACAUGCGUCAAGGCAUCCAUGCAAAGGAGAAUGAGCACAAAUCAGUCCUGUAUGAUAAACAUCACUAAUUCAUGCCCCAGGGAUGCCAGAGGGCUGUCACUUUCCCUAACAGUGGUUUUAAUGUUGUGGCUAAUCAUUAGGUGUUUAAAAAUGUUGAGAUGACAGAUUUUGAUUUAUCCCAUCACAAAGAAGUAAUCAAACCCGAGUGACUUUAAAAGACAGUUAUUUCCAAUCCUCUCCAUUGAUCCAGUGAAGGAUGUGCCAAGAUCGACAGUUUAGAGUCAGAGUCUUACCCAGCAGAAUUCGACAACCUCUUGGCUGGAGACGCUGAUGAAAAGUAAACCACUGCAGUGGUCCUUGGUUUCCAGCUGAUCCAACGCCAACAGCUUGUUUGAUAGCAACAUUAGCAUUAGUCAGAGUACCCGAUGUCAGGAUCUGCUCACAAUAAAUUAAGUAAAAUUAAUCCCUACUGGCAAAACCAGCAGCACUCAUACCCAGUAAAACACAAUGAAUUCAAUUUGUGUUAUUAUUCUGCCGAGACUUCAAUCCAUGAAAAGUAGAUGUCGCUGUUUUUUAAAAGGUAUUUAUCUGCUGUGAAAGUGACACCCUUUAUUGUUUAUUGAUUGACUGUGUCCCAAUAAAUUUGACAAAGCAAGAGUGAUUCAGUGCUGCAGCUGGAAGCUGUCAGUCGUAAAACCUCCCAGACUCUGCAAGUAAGAACCAUUUCUAAGUCUAAAUAAAAUGCCACUUUAGCAACCCUGUGAUAUUGUUUCAAGAGCAGAAAGGGUGGAUGCAAUGAAUUUUGCUAUUGCAUCAACCAUGUCACUUUAUAAUGCUGGGUACAAAAUGAUUGUUUGGCUAAGGAUAGUACAGAUGUGCAAACAUCCUCUUGCCAGCUGAUACGAGUCAUAUUGAAGCUGCUGACAGCUGGAUUGUGCUAAUAGAAUUCAAUUAUUCAAUUCAGUUUUAUUUAUACAGCGUCAAAUCACAACAGUGUUGCCUCAAGGCAACGUAGACCCUAAGGUAGACCCUAUAAUAAUACAUACAGAGAAAAAGCCAACAAUCAUA
Haplochromis burtoni (Burton's mouthbrooder) is the source of this 3384-nucleotide long non-coding RNA. RefSeq annotates it as neurogenic locus notch homolog protein 1. NCBI's taxonomy places the organism in Eukaryota, Metazoa, Chordata, Actinopteri, Cichliformes, Cichlidae. The record is from RefSeq and is a predicted model, not a curated record. The transcript has 13 exons.